UACGGGGGGGGCAAGCGUUGUUCGGAAUUAUUGGGCGUAAAGAGCUCGUAGGCGGCCUGUUGCGUCCGCUGUGAAAGCCCGGGGCUUAACCCCGGGUCGGCAGUGGAUACGGGCAGGCUAGAGGUAGGUAGGGGAGAAUGGAAUUCCCGGUGUAGCGGUGAAAUUCGUAGAUAUCGGGAGGAACACCGGUGGCGAAGGCGGCGAUCUGGGUAGAUACUGACGCUGAGGUGCGAAAGCGUGGGGAGCAAACAGG
RNAcentral lists this ribosomal RNA (253 nucleotides) under uncultured bacterium. RNAcentral describes it as "partial 16S ribosomal RNA". It matches the Rfam family "Bacterial small subunit ribosomal RNA", at positions 524 to 776 of the family's 1533-position model. The record is from RNAcentral.